UUUCCGUAGGUGAACCUGCGGAAGGAUCAUUACCGUGGGGGCCCCUCGCCGGGCCCCCGCCGAGGUAGAACCCUUGAAUUUGAAGCACCGAACGCGUUUCCUCGGCGGGCCCGCCCGCCAACGGGGACCAACCAAAAACCCAAACCGAAGUAAAGUAGUCAAACACCGUACCUAAAACAAACAAAUCAAAACUUUCAACAACGGAUCUCUUGGUUCUGGCAUCGAUGAAGAACGCAGC
Molecule: unclassified non-coding RNA, 238 nt
Filed under: uncultured fungus
Lineage: Eukaryota; Fungi
Description: sequence contains ITS1, 5.8S rRNA gene
Rfam family: 5.8S ribosomal RNA (bases 190-238)
Source: RNAcentral